This 739-nucleotide long non-coding RNA is filed under the name Suricata suricatta (meerkat). Its description in RNAcentral is "lncRNA (ENSSSUG00005001837.1)". The record is from RNAcentral. Lineage: Eukaryota; Metazoa; Chordata; Mammalia; Carnivora; Herpestidae.
UGACUGUCUAAUCUGUUACCACCUUCUCAGAGAUUUGCUCUUUAUCCAUGACCUGAUCCCCAAAGCCUGUAUAUACUCUGGAACUAGGUACCAUAGGAUUUCCAAGGUCUGUGUGAAGGGUGCCCCUGGCAUUGUGUGAGGUCCCCAUGUAAGAGUCCCAUUGUGACUUGUUCCCAGGAAUUUGGAAUUGGGAUGCAGGCAGACUGGGACUAGAAUAGGCUGAGUUUACAUUCCUUGAAAACUGUCUUGGGGUCAGGAGAUCUACGGGCGAGAGGAGGGGGCACCACUGACCCAUGUUUGAUGCAGGUAAGAACGCCAGAAUCAUCGUUGCUCUGAGCAGGGUCAAAGGAUUGCUAAUAGAAAAAGAUGGCAUUUGAGAAACCCUCCAGAGGACAGGGCGAUGCCUGAUCUGCAUGGAGUCUCAUCGGAGCACAGGUAUACUAUGAUCCGGCCAGUCAGGAUGGCUUUCCAACCUCCCCGGACAUCGGCCACCCCAGCCCAGAUGUUCCUUCACUUUGCCUGUUUUGAUUUCCACUUGAUGGCCGGGAUGAAUGAUGGAAAUUAGGACCAGUGGAGGUGUCCUUGCAAACAGCCUCAUGCUGCUGAGGGAUUCCUGACCCGCAGAUUUCCCCAUCUCUUCUUCCAGAGCUUCCCUGCCACCUCUAGGCCCCUGGUGAUCUUGCCCCUGAACUUGGGAAAUGUGUAAGCCUGCUAAUUCAGGCAUCCUCCGGCAGCCUGC